This 481-nucleotide ribosomal RNA is filed under the name uncultured bacterium. Its description in RNAcentral is "partial 16S ribosomal RNA". It matches the Rfam family "Bacterial small subunit ribosomal RNA", at positions 28 to 507 of the family's 1533-position model. The record is from RNAcentral.
GAUGAACGCUGGCGGCGUGCUUAACACAUGCCAGUCGAACGAAGCACUUUAUUUGAUUUCCUUCGGGACUGAUUAUUUUGUGACUGAGUGGCGGACGGGUGAGUAACGCGUGGGUAACCUGCCUUGUACAGGGGGAUAACAGUUGGAAACGGCUGCUAAUACCGCAUAAGCGCACAGCAUCGCAUGAUGCAGUGUGAAAAACUCCGGUGGUAUAAGAUGGACCCGCGUUGGAUUAGCUAGUUGGUGAGGUAACGGCCCACCAAGGCGACGAUCCAUAGCCGACCUGAUAGGGUGACCGGCCACAUUGGGACUGAGACACGGCCCAAACUCCUACGGGAGGCAGCAGUGGGGAAUAUUGCACAAUGGGCGAAAGCCUGAUGCAGCGACGCCGCGUGAGCGAAGAAGUAUUUCGGUAUGUAAAGCUCUAUCAGCAGGGAAGAUAAUGACGUUACCUGACUAAGAAGCACCGGCUAAAUACGUG